RNAcentral lists this ribosomal RNA (859 nucleotides) under uncultured bacterium. Its description in RNAcentral is "bacterial SSU rRNA". It matches the Rfam family "Bacterial small subunit ribosomal RNA", at positions 8 to 900 of the family's 1533-position model. The record is from RNAcentral.
AGAGUUUGAUCCUGGCUCAGGACGAACGCUGGCGGCGUGCGUAAUGCAUGCAAGUCGAACGCAGCAGCUUCGGCUGGCUGCGUGGCGAACGGCUGAGGAACACGUGGGUGACCUGCCCCAGAGUGGGGGAUACCCCGUCGAAAGACGGGAUAAUCCCGCAUACGCUCUACGGAGGAAAGCCCCUACGGGCGCUCUGGGAGGGGCCUGCGGCCCAUCAGGUUGUUGGUGUGGUAACGGCGCACCAAGCCACUGACGGGUACCCGGUCUGAGAGGACGGCCGGGCAGACUGGGACUGCGACACGGCCCAGACUCCUACGGGAGGCAGCAGCAAGGAAUUUUCCCCAAUGGGCGCAAGCCUGAGGGAGCAACGCCGCGUGGAGGACGACGGCCUUCGGGUUGUAAACUCCUUUCGGGUGGGACGACUCCGACGGUACCACCAGAAGCAGCCCCGGCUAACUCUGUGCCAGCAGCCGCGGUAAGACAGAGGGGGCAAGCGUUGUCCGGAGUUACUGGGCGUAAAGGGCGCGGAGGCGGUCUGCGGCGUCGGCGCUGAAAGCGCCCCGCUUAACGGGGCGAGGCGUGCCGAUACGCGCAGACUUGAGGCGAGCAGAGGGUGGUGGAAUUCCGGGUGGAGCGGUGAAAUGCGUAGAGAUCCGGAGGAACGCCAGUGGGGAAGCCGGCCACCUGGGCUCGGCCUGACGCUGCGGCGCGACCGCGUGGGGAGCAAACCGGAUUAGAUACCCGGGUAGUCCACGCCGUAAACGAUGCCAGCUCGGCGUGUGGCGCACGGUCGUGCGCUGCGUGCCUUAGCUCACGCGAUAAGCUGGCCGCCUGGGGACUACGAGCGCAAGCUAGUCUG